GUUGUGGCUCAGCGGUAGAGCGCUUGCCUAGCACCUGCAAGGCUCUGGGUUUGAUCCUCAGCAUCACA
Molecule: transfer RNA, 68 nt
Filed under: Marmota monax (woodchuck)
Lineage: Eukaryota; Metazoa; Chordata; Mammalia; Rodentia; Sciuridae
Description: tRNA.Ala
Source: RNAcentral